This 258-nucleotide unclassified non-coding RNA is filed under the name rhizosphere metagenome. RNAcentral describes it as "partial ribosomal RNA internal transcribed spacer region". The record is from RNAcentral.
GUAGGUGAACCUGCGGAAGGAUCAUUAUUGAAUUAUAAGGCGUUGAUUGUGCUGGCCUCUCGGGGCAUGUGCACGUCUCCGCCCGUUAAUCCCAACCACCCCUGUGAACCGACCGUGUGGGGCGCUCUGUAAUGGAGCCGUCUCAUGCUUUAUCAUAAACACUGUAUGUCUUUGAAUGUAAAAUCUAUAUCCUCGCCUUAAAACCGCGUCGAUAAAAAAAAGUUAAUAUAACUUUCAACAACGGAUCUCUUGGCUCUA